RNAcentral lists this long non-coding RNA (668 nucleotides) under Homo sapiens (human). Its description in RNAcentral is "non-protein coding lnc-CHMP2B-1:4". The record is from RNAcentral. Lineage: Eukaryota; Metazoa; Chordata; Mammalia; Primates; Hominidae.
GGGUAGAGGGCAGCAACCGACUUGUGCGAAAGGAGGGAACGUGUGGGUCUGCCAGGGUCCUGCAGGGGGGAUGAGACCCUCGCUCCGCUCCGGCGAUCCCUUCGCUCUCCACCCUCGGCCAGCCCCUCCUGUCCUCCAUCAGGCCUCGCUGAGGAUACCUCCUGGGUUCCAAAGCGCGAGUUGAACCUGAGCUUGACAUUCAUUCCGUCUCGUACAAAAGCCAUGCCUGCGGGGAGAGGGAGAAAAUUUCCUACAGGAGCCUCAAGACUGCGUUUCAGGAAGCCCUAGGACCCACUGAUCCUGCAGCUGCGCCUCUCACUCGCCUCAGGUCCUGAGCUGGAACGAUGGAAUCUAGCAGAAGUUGCCUUUCCAGAUUCAAACGGCUUCUAUGGUGGAUUCACACAAAAGAAAUUAGUAGAAGAAAGAAUUUUGCUAAAUUUCUUUUCAGAAAGACUUUACUCAUUUAUCAGCAAUAAAUAGUAUCUGUUAUGAGUUAAAUUGUGUCUCCAAAAAGAUAUGCUGGGGUAAUAGCCACUGGGAACUUUGAAUGUAAUCUUAUUUGGAAAUAGGGUCUUUGCUAAUAUUAUCAAAUUAAGAUGAAGUCAUAUCAAAUUAAGUAUGACUGUCCUUAUAAGAGGAGAAGAGACACAGACACAGAGGAAAGACUG